CAGCAGUCCUGGCGUGAGUGACGUGAGGGUGGACAGACCGCCGCGUGUCCGCUGUGCUUCUGUCCCUUCAGCCACGUGGCCCCUGUGCCUCACGCAGGGACGAAAGAGGACCACUGUUCACUCCUGGCUUUCAGAUUCUAUUUCUUUCUUUAGGGGAUUCACGCAGGACCAGCACAGCCAUCUCUGUGGAGUGUGUGGUUCAGACACGGGCAGUCAGUGCGCCCGUAAACUGCUGGCCUUCUGCUUGGCAGCUGCAGGUUCUGACCUGAGUCCUUCUGCACUCGGCACCUGACCUGGGGACAACGCCACGGCUGUGCAUUAGCAGGUCGGCGGGGCGCUCAUGUCCGUGAUCGAGUCUUUACAUUCCAGGUGAUGACACAUCCUGAUCACCAGAUGAGCUCACUCCUCCGUGACCGGUAGCUACAGACAAGCAGUCCGACUCUUUCCUGAAGGAAUCAAUUUCUAUUUUAAUCUUCCGGAUGACUUUUAUUUACCUUACUCAGAACACUACCAAAUGUGAAUAGCAUGUUCUCACUGACCUGUGUGUGUUUUUUAUUUUGCACUGUGUAUGUUCUUAGGUGAA
This is a long non-coding RNA of Mirounga angustirostris (Northern elephant seal), 583 nucleotides long. RefSeq lists it as uncharacterized. The record is from RefSeq and is a predicted model, not a curated record. The transcript is spliced from 3 exons. Lineage: Eukaryota; Metazoa; Chordata; Mammalia; Carnivora; Phocidae.